UCAGGACGAACGCUGGCGGCGUGCCUAAUACAUGCAAGUCGAACGGUCUUUCUAUGGAAGCUUGCUUCCACUGAGAAGAUAGUGGCGAACGGGUGAGUAACACGUGGGUAACCUGCCCAUAAGAGGGGGGAUAACAUCCGGAAACGGGUGCUAAUACCGCAUAGUUUUCUUGAUCACAUGAUUGAGAAAGGAAAGACGGCCUUUGUGCUGUCGCUUAUGGAUGGACCCGCGGCGUAUUAGUUAGUUGGUGAGGUAACGGCUCACCAAGACGAUGAUACGUAGCCGACCUGAGAGGGUGAUCGGCCACAUUGGGACUGAGACACGGCCCAAACUCCUACGGGAGGCAGCAGUAGGGAAUCUUCCGCAAUGGACGAAAGUCUGACGGAGCAACGCCGCGUGAGUGAAAGAAGGUUUUCGGAUCGUAAAACUCUGUUGUCAGAGAAGAACAAGUUGGAGAGUAACUGCUCCAGCCUUGACGGUAUCUGACCAGAAAGCCACGGCUAACUACGUGCCAGCCGCCGC
This 522-nucleotide ribosomal RNA is filed under the name uncultured bacterium. RNAcentral's name for it is "bacterial SSU rRNA". It matches the Rfam family "Bacterial small subunit ribosomal RNA", at positions 24 to 518 of the family's 1533-position model. The record is from RNAcentral.